CCUACGGGGGGCUGCAGUAGGGAAUCUUCCGCAAUGGACGAAAGUCUGACGGAGCAACGCCGCGUGAGCGAAGAAGGUCUUCGGAUCGUAAAGCUCUGUUGUCGGGGAAGAACAAGUACGGUAGGAAAUGGCCGUACCUUGACGGUACCCGACGAGAAAGCCACGGCUAACUACGUGCCAGCAGCCGCGGUAAUACGUAGGGGGCGAGCGUUAUCCGGAAUCACUGGGCGUAAAGGGUGCGUAGGCGGCCGAUAAAGUCUGGGGUGAAAGGCUACGGCUCAACCGUAGUAAGCCUUGGAAACUUAUUGGCUUGAGUGCAGGAGAGGAGAGCGGAAUUCCUGGUGUAGCGGUGAAAUGCGUAGAUAUCAGGAGGAACACCAGUGGCGAAGGCGGCUCUCUGGACUGUAACUGACGCUGAGGCACGAAAGCGUGGGGAGCAAACGGGAUUAGAUACCCCAGUAGUC
RNAcentral lists this ribosomal RNA (464 nucleotides) under uncultured bacterium. RNAcentral's name for it is "bacterial SSU rRNA". It matches the Rfam family "Bacterial small subunit ribosomal RNA", at positions 338 to 795 of the family's 1533-position model. The record is from RNAcentral.